Molecule: ribosomal RNA, 331 nt
Filed under: uncultured eukaryote
Lineage: Eukaryota
Description: partial 18S ribosomal RNA
Rfam family: Eukaryotic small subunit ribosomal RNA
Source: RNAcentral
CCCUUAGAUGUUCUGGGCUGCACGCGCGCUACACUGAUGCACUCAACGAGUUUACGACCUUGCCCGAUAGGGUUGGGUAAUCUUUUUAAAAUGCAUCGUGAUGGGGAUAGAUUAUUGCAAUUAUUAAUCUUCAACGAGGAAUUCCUAGUAAGCGCGAGUCAUCAGCUCGUGCUGAUUACGUCCCUGCCCUUUGUACACACCGCCCGUCGCUCCUACCGAUUGAAUGGUCCGGUGAAGUGUUCGGAUCGCGCCGACGUGGGCGGUUCGCCGCCGGCGACGUCGCGAGAAGUCCACUGAACCUUAUCAUUUAGAGGAAGGAGAAGUCGUAACA